RNAcentral lists this transfer RNA (65 nucleotides) under Idaea simplicior. RNAcentral's name for it is "tRNA-Arg". Lineage: Eukaryota; Metazoa; Arthropoda; Insecta; Lepidoptera; Geometridae. The record is from RNAcentral.
AAAUAUGAAGCAAAUUUUGCAUUUAACUUCGACUUAAAGAUUAGAGUUUAAUUACUCCUUAUUUU